This 348-nucleotide ribosomal RNA is filed under the name Salmonella enterica. Its description in RNAcentral is "bacterial SSU rRNA". The record is from RNAcentral. Lineage: Bacteria; Pseudomonadati; Pseudomonadota; Gammaproteobacteria; Enterobacterales; Enterobacteriaceae.
CAAGUCAUCAUGGCCCUUACGACCAGGGCUACACACGUGCUACAAUGGCGCAUACAAAGAGAAGCGACCUCGCGAGAGCAAGCGGACCUCAUAAAGUGCGUCGUAGUCCGGAUUGGAGUCUGCAACUCGACUCCAUGAAGUCGGAAUCGCUAGUAAUCGUGGAUCAGAAUGCCACGGUGAAUACGUUCCCGGGCCUUGUACACACCGCCCGUCACACCAUGGGAGUGGSUUGCAAAAGAAGUAGGUAGCUUAACCUUCGGGAGGGCGCUUACCACUUUGUGAUUCAUGACUGGGGUGAAGUCGUAACAAGGUAACCGUAGGGGAACCUGCGGUUGGAUCACCUCCUUA